This 8686-nucleotide long non-coding RNA is filed under the name Sus scrofa (pig). Its description in RNAcentral is "lncRNA (ENSSSCG00035036262.1)". The record is from RNAcentral. Lineage: Eukaryota; Metazoa; Chordata; Mammalia; Artiodactyla; Suidae.
GUCUUUGGUGACUGAAAAAAAACCAGAAGCACAUUUUCCUCCAGCUUCUUUGCUUUAGCGGCUCUUGUGCUCUUUGUGAACCCAGACCAUAGGGAGAAAGAAGCUCCUGAGCUACGUUUUGUAUUUUAUGGAUUUUAAAGUUUUACUUUCUAUAGAUGGAUACUUGAAUGUUACUCUAAACAGUCAGGAAGACUUAUUUUGAAACAGCUUGCUUUUUAGACCUGGGAUUGAGAGACAAAGAGGUAUCCCAAGUUGAAUAAACUCCUUGGUUAUCUAAGCUGGGAGGAGGCAGCGCCAGGGCUAUGUGGACCUUACGGCUUCCAAGGCAUUUUUCUAACUUGAGACUCACAGAUGUUAACACGAACUGCAACAAGGCUUGUGCCUUUGGAUCGCAAUCCUGUGAGACAGCAAACUCCUCUGUCUGUUUAGCUGUGCUGGGGCAGAGGCCAGCAUCACCGCGGGUGGCCUCUGCUAGAUCUCCUCCAGCGAGUCAUCCUUCCCACUGCAUCUGGGGGGCACCUUCUGUACCACCAACUUGACCAUGGCACCCAGGCUCCAAACCUUUCAAAUGCUUCCUCACGGUGCUCUGCGAAAUUCACAUUUCUAAUGAUGGCAUCUAAAACUGCUCAUGAUCUGGCCUCUUCAGAUUCACACUCCACAUCCCAGGCUAGGGGUCAAAUUAGAGCUGCAGCUGCCGGCAUACACCACAGCCACAGCAAUGUGGGAUCUGAGCUGUGUCUGCAACCUACACCACAGCUCACGGUAAGGCUGUAUCCUUAACCCACUGAGCGAGGACAGGGAUUGAACCCAUGUCCUCAUGGAUACUAGUCGGAUUCAUUACUGCUGAGCCAUGAUGGGAACUCCAGGACCAUGUCUUAAUCUCAGUGAUCCUCCAGUUCCUACGUUUAAAUCAGGGUAAUAGCACCUGCCCAAGAUUAUUAGAGGCAUUAAAUGAGACAAUGUUUGGGAAAUUCAUGAAAAUUUCAAUAAAUAUAAAUGAUGGCAUUUCUAGGAGGUGGCUUAAAAAAAAAAAGAGCAGAAAGGAGGGGCAGCAGCAGGGAGGAAUCUAAAGAAAAAAACGUGUAACAGGUCUAGCGAGAUCAUCUAGGUAUUCAUGGUAGGCUUCCACACCUGAGCACGGAAUGAUUUCUUUCUAUGUCCCCCUCUUGUCGAUUUUGAGCCUAAGUGUCCUUAUUACCCCCUUUUCCCACUAACAUACCAUGUUCCUUCCUACCAAAUACCACCACCAAUACUACCACCAGCAGUUCCUGGGACUCCGUUUAUUCUUGUUUCAAUUGUUAAAUACCCUCUCUUUCCCUGUGUCCCAUGUAAAUCUCACCCAUUCUUCAACCUUCAUAAUAAGUCCCACCUGUAUCUAUAAUGCCUUUGAGUAAACCAGCUCACAUCCAUCCUUCUCCAGGUCUCUCCCUAGUGCAUUAAGAGUGCCUAUGUCAUUCCUCAGUGCUUUAUCUCCAAAUUCUUCACACAUGUACACCUGGUCCCCUAUCUAGAAUGUGGGGAGAACCCCAUACCUUAGAGGAGCCAAGUCUGGGUUAUAAUAAAACAUGAGGGGUUGGCAGAGAAGAGGAGUGGUAGCAAGUGUAUGAAAGGAAAGUAAGAUUGACUAGUCUGCCAAGAAAACAAAACCAUACAAUGAGAAAUGAUAUGAGAAAAUGAGAUAAUCAAUUUCCGAAGGCUCAAAGAUUCUGUGGUGGUUGAACAUGACAUAUUAUGAAGAGGGCACAGGGUAAUGUUUCAAAGAUGGGUGGCAAGUAAGGAACCCGGCUUCCAAAAUGAAUAUACCAAGUGACUAUCACUGAAUGAGAAAGUCAAGAAGAAAGGAAAUGGAGACCAGAUGGAAAAAGAACCACCAGGGUGAUCAAACAACAUUUUGCUGAGCACUCAGUUCUUCCAGGAUUUGGGAACUGUUCUAGGUACAUGUUUGGGGCACACAAGGUGGGGAGGGAGUUCAGAGAGUACUAACCAGCAUCAGUGCUUGCAAGGCUUGGCAGUCCACACAGGGCGAUGAAACACAUAUGACGAUUUAACCACAGAUAUAAAUUAGCAUGUGACAAGCGCCAAAUGAGCACCGCAAGACAGAUGGAGGGGAGAUUGCUACAUGCUAAUGUAGUCAGGGGCAGGGGCACUUUCUCAGACAGAACCUGCUGUCUUAAAGGAUAGGAGAAAGGCCUGGGAUACCAGGUCCAGGGGUGGAAACCUGUACAGAGAUGGAAGUGAAAUUUGCCAGAUAUGUGGGUGGGAUUAGCAGAGAAAUCUUGCUAAAGCGAGACUGGUUGGGAUGGUGGAAGGGGAUGGAUUUGCAAAAGUAGACUGAAAAAUAGAAAGAUUCCAUAGAAAAGGAGAGAUAAGUUUGAAAGGAAUUUAGGUAGAGUGAGAGAAGAGGAGAAGCAAAAUGAAAGGAAAAGAAACUAAAGGGAAGAAAAAUGAUGUUACCAAGCAUUUAUCACCAUAAAAAAGUUAAAUUUUAAAUGUGUGGAUGGGAAUUAAAUGUAACAGAUAAUACAUUAUUUUUUCCUGAUUAGGGAAGUCUUUAAAAAAAAAAGAGGUCAGUAUUGACUCAACUGCAGCAAGAAGCAUAAUCUGAAAUAUUAGAGCUGGAAAGAUACAUCUUUCUUGGGAAGCAAUCUAGCAAUAUGUACAGUGGUCCUUUAAAAGGCACAGUAGUUCCCAUAAAGGAUGCUAACUUGAUAAAACCAUCAGGAAGAUGGAAAAAACAUUCAUGCUCAAAGAUGCUCUUUAACGCACACUGCUUACCUAACACAAUAAACCACCACCAACACAAUCAGCACAGCAGAAAAACCUACAGGGAGAUUGUGAAAUUAAGUUGAGAUAGAGCCACAUCAAGAAUUACAACUUGACCAUUAAAUAUCAUGUUUAUGUUACUGUUACAGAAAAAAGUCAGGAUUCAAAAUGUUCCACAAAGUUGAGCCCACUUACAUAAAAAUGCACAUACACAUAAGCACACAGAAAUACUGAAAGGCAAUAAAUCCAAAUUCUUUCUAUGUUAUACAACUAUCAAGUGUUUUUAUUUUCAUUUGGAGGCGUUUCCUCUAUUUUCCAAGUUUUCUACAAUGAGUGUGAAUUACAAAAUAAUUCAAAAGUAUAUUUAGGUAUUGAAAAACCGAAUAAACAUUUUAUGCACAAACGACACUUGGAGAGAGCUGUGCAUAGGAAGUGAAAAAUAGUUCCCCCUCCAAGCUGCCUUAAUCCCCAGCUGUGAGGACAUUUCCCUUCUAAACCUGAGACUAUGCACGACCCUAAAGAUGAUGCAUAGGAUUGUCCCCCUCACAUGUCAUUAUCUACGAGAAGGGAAUUUUAGAAGUCCUUUCCACAUUGUUUUUUCCGGAGAAGGCAGAAGAAUAAAUGUUUCCUUUACUCUGGAUCUUGAUGUCCCUAGAAAGCCUAAAUUCCAGGGAAUACCUUAACUCGUCUCUUUCCUCCCUUCUUACUCUCCUCCCACCAACACCCCCUUCACCACCAGCACCAUCUCUCUCUCUUUAGUACACGGCUGCCUCUUCAAUGCUGCCCUCAGAUCAAGAUGGUAACAUGGUCUUGGAUUUCUGUACUUUAUGGAAGAGUGGUACCCUCCAUUCACGAAGGAACUCAAACAUUUUAAAAGUGCAACCCAAUUUCAAGUGCACGUUUAGGGUAGUUACAAACACAGGCAAACAACUGCAUGUGUGGUAUCACAGAGAAGAGAAAGCCCACUAUAUCCGAAGUCAACAUGAUGCUCCUUUAAAAUGACAUGCGAUGAACUGCUUUCUCAGAGCAAACACUCAGUCCAUGCCAGGGCUGGGGCAGGAAGCAGAAGCCAGCAACAGCCCACCACUGGAGAGGGGGAAACGGUGGUGAUAACUCUAAAUGUGAAAGAGAGAGGCUUGACAUUUUUCAAUGACCAAACCAGGCAAUUAAAACAUUAAAUGUGAAAUCUGAGGCACUGGAAAUUUCCUAAUAUGGUAAAAGGGCUGAGUUUCCCAAAUGGUGUUUUCUCAUCUUUCAGCAUAUCAAAGAGCAUGCCAAAACCCCAAAGAAACAUUUCCAUUUUGAAAACAAAAAUAAACCACACACAUCCACAUUCUAUUAAUAGUGUUGUGUUGCCUUAACGACCUUGCAUCCUUAGGGGGAGAGAAAAAGUCACCGUUUAUGCAAAUUUUAACGUAAGUGAAAACUUCCAUACAAAAGCAACUGGACCAGUGGGGGUGAGUUAGGAGGGACUGGGGCAAAAGCAAUCAAAUCCCUUCUAUGUUUUCCUUACUGGAGACCAAAUGUUAUGCUCCUCGUGGUCAGACUUCAAGACUUUGUAAACACAUUCUACAUCUUUAGCAGCAUUUCUUAAGAGUGUAAACAAGGAAAGCUGGCAUUAAGACACACAGGUUCAAGCCCACUCCACCAUGUUUGGAGAUCCAAGACAGAGGGACCCAGCUUAGAACUGAAAACCCAAGCAGACUGUCCAGAAGUCAAAGACCUGUCAAAGUUCUCAAAAUCCAGACUAUCAAUUCCUGCUCCUGCCACCGGGAAGAGGAAAAACGCUCUCCGGUGGCAUCUUAUGUGUAGAGACAGAAAAAUGCCCCUGAAUGUGGUUCUUUGCUUCCUCAACUUAAAUACCAAGAGCUGCUGCCUAGGUGCUCAGCCGAGUCCAUCACUCGGGGUGAGAGCCAUGCAAAGUACAGGACAUAGAAGCUGCCCACAAGACGCCUCCAUUUCUGAGGGAAGAAAAGAACACAAAACAGCGAGAGGGAACAACAAAGGAUCGCUUAUUCUAUCCUGAAAGUGUGACCACGCAAGUAAAAUGUCAGUUCAACCCCAAGUCUUUGGGAGAAAGGAGUCCUUAUCGCCUGCCUGCAUGGACCAGCUUAAACCUCUGUUUAAGAGAAAAGGGGUAGGAUGUCUCCACCAGGGAGAAUAGGAAAACCAGAGCCAGACCCACAAGCCCACCCCGAUCAGGUGAGGUGAGGAGGAACGAAGAGCAUGGACUCGGAACACCAACUCCGAUGAAACUGGGAAGAAACGAAAGCAAAGAUCACCUCUCUUACACCAGCAGAUCCGAGUUGAAAGCCUAACCCCGCUAAGUCUGUGCACUGGGCAUGCUCAUUGUUGACCUGCUUUUCUAUUCCCCUGCACAAGCAUUUAUCCCAUACUGUCUGGCAGAAGCUCUUCCUUACAGUUCUAUAAGCAUUUAUCACAACAACACAAUUGAGUGGGGUCCUGUUAUUAUCCCCCCCCCCUUACAAACAGGGAAACCAAGGGAGCAGGUAGUCGGAUACUUUGAAGGUGACAAAGUUCUAACUCAAACCUGGGGGAUAUGGCUUCCAGCAUCUGAGCUCCAAAGUGCUUUGCUGCCUCAUCUACGAAAUGCUUUCUUUUCCAGGCCAUGGUGUUGAUGCAGUGACAUGUGGUAACAGCACCCAGCACAGUGCCUGACAUUUAGCAGAGGCUGAGUCAUCUCCCUCCUCCCACUGCUCCCUGACUCCCUCUCACCACUCUGUGGAAGGCUGGAGGCAAGAUUCUGCACACAGAUAAAGGCAGCUGUGCCAACGUCAGUGUGCAAAGGCCCAGGGGCUCCGGGGCAAGCCAGCAAACCACCCUCUGUCUUUAUGCCCUGAGGCCUGGAACAAGAGCUCUAACUCCAGCAGAGAUGCCCAGCAUUUCCAGACAGGAGCUGCCUCUACUUAUUACAAACUGCAUUCAAGGCAUGGGCUUUGGAGACAAGCCUGGGGGAAACUGAAAGACUUCUGAUUUCUAUACUAGGAGCUGAAUAUGUAGAUGUCAACACCAACACCACACCACACACACACACACACACACACACAAAAACACCUAACACUUACACCAUACCCACCACUGAGGGAAAAUGACCUACUUUCCAGAACUUUCCAUUGCCUAGAAACUCCCAGUGUCUGCAUCAAACUGCAGCUCUCUUUAAGGCAGUCCAGACAGUGAUGGUGAGCUAAAGGACAGAGUCCUGAGUCCCUUUUGAAAAUUAUUAAGAACAAAUUAGGCCCAGGGGCCCUGGGGAGCCUGUGUCAUAAAACAUGAGAAAAUUGUGUCUUCCAGUCCUCUGGCAGUAUUUUCAUGAACUGGUGACAACUGAAUAGAAGAUAGAGAUUAUUUUUGUAUCUUGACCUUAGUCUAAAAUGCUAUUGAGAAAGCUGCACCUUACCAGUUAAGGGACUUACCUAGCUGUGAAAUAGUGACCCACGCAGUAUAGGAAGUUUAAUACAUUCAAAAAGUUCCAAGUGCACAACCAGUACAAUUUACUAAAGUAAGAGGCGACCAGGCGGGGAUGCUGCCUACACACUUGCUCACUUUUUCGUCCAUUAACAAAAAGUUCUAUUUUAUGCCAAGGCAACAUAAGAAUAUUAUUUUAUUGCACCAAGAAUGCCACCACCAUGAAGCAUGAGAGCUGUUGUUCUGACCCUAAAAAGGAGCUAACGUGGUUUAAAAGUAAUUAAGAAGGAAAGCUGACUCUCUAUGUUUUGCGCCUCCGUCAGCGUGGCUACUGGGUUCCCUGCAGCCUGCCAAAGUCGGCAAAAUGACAGUGCUUGUAACCACCCGAUUUCUAAAACUGUAAGCUUCUAUUGUGAAGAAGCUUGAUUUUCUGCUUUAGAAAUCCAUCACCUGCCGGUCGGUCCUCGUGGCAUAUUGCUAAGAGACACCACAAAGGGCCCAGGUGCACGCAUGGGGAAUCAAGUUCUUCUCUCCUUUUAAUUACAGGUCGGCAACCGUCAGGGGGAUGGUGGAGAAACUGCCUCCCUAAAACGUUCAUUAGAGAUGGCAAUUUGCUAGCGGGGAAACAAAAACGGCCUCCUUCAACUCACUCAUCUGCAGAAGCCCCCCCCCCCCAACCCCAAGGUGAAUUAUGCCUCUGUAAUCACACGCUGGCCACACUGAGGCUCUGGGCUCAGCCCAGAACGCUUCCAGAGGGGAGGCAGGGACAGAAAAGCAGAGGUCACAAGGAAAGAGCAAGCCCUGAAGAAAGCGUUCAGACGUCCCGAACCUGUGCGAACAGUUCCUUCUACUUCCUGUUUAAGCUGUUACCCACCCCGCAGGAGGGACAGUUGUUAUCUUAGUAAUUUCAAAAGCUAUUAAGUGAGGAUGAAGGAGGGAGCUAAGGAAGUGAGGUGGGAGGGAAGGAGUUUCUCUGUUUGUGUGCAUGUGUGCGUGUGUGCGUGCGUGCGUGUGUGUGUGUGUGUGUGUGUGUGUGUGUGUGUGUUGUGAGUCAGCAAAAGCCGGAAGCCUGACAAAAGACUUCAAACAACAAGCUGGAAAGGAGGACAAUAGCUUCCACCCCCAGACAGUGAGAAAUUGCAUUAUCCUAAGGGAUCGCGGCCACCCGUGCUCAGUGCAGAUAAGUGAGGAGCUCUCUGUUCUGGCCAAUAGGAGCCAGGCAGCCGCAGCUGCUCGCGGAAGCCCUGGGUGGCCUCCGUCCCAGCCGCUCCAAAUGGUUUCAAGGCAAAAGCACUGCAGCUGGGUGGUGCUCAGAAGCUCAGGGGGUGGGAGGGGAGGCUGACAAAGUGGAGGCUGGCAAGUUGCACCCCCCCACCCCCCCACACGCCAGGUGCUCUAAAUCCCCUCUCCCGCUUAGGGAAACCACACACAGGUCUCCAGGCUGACUCCUCAGGCAGCUGUGUCAGAGCCUGCCUCCCCAUCAUUCCACAGCACACAGUGAAACGGUGCCUCAGAGACGGCGGACCCUAUGGGGAAACUUCCCCGCCACACAGUUCUUCGUGCUCCAGGAGCAAGAGGAUAAUUAAUGCCACUUGGCCAAAGAGAGGGGCAUUCCAAAUGCAGUCAUCAAGGAGACUGAAGCCUCGCCACACAACCUACACUGCAGACACAAAGCCCUGGAGACAAAAAAAAGACUUGGGCAAAUCCGAUCAGGAACUUCCAUCUGCAGUAAAAAGGUGAAAUGCAAAAGGGUAUAUUCACUAUCCUGAGUGGAAAAAAAAAAAAAAAUCUUCAUAUUUGAGGAAAAGUAUAUGAAAGUUACAUCAGGGGUUAGCUCACUUCUGGAAAUACUAUUAUUUACGGGGGAAGAAUUAACUAAAUAAAAAAGCAUGCAUUGAAUAUAUUAAUGAGUACUUGCCAUCCAGUUUUACAGUAUUACUUGUCACGGGUUAUAUUUUUAAAUGUUUUCAUGUCCGUGGCUCAUAUCUAUGCAGUAUGUCCACCUGACAAGUUUGUUAAAAGCACAAGAGAAGCUGAUGAUGCUGAAACCCCAUAUUUACAUGCAGUUCCCAGACCAGAUAACCACUGGCAGGCCCUAACUUUGUAUACGAAUUCUUUUGAAAGAAAUAUAUACAUAUGUAAUUUUUAAAUCAAACACACACACACAGGUGUGUGCAAACGUUAACAAAAAUGAGAGAAGCGGUAAAGACAGAAAAGUAUUAAAGUUCGAGCCCUGACUGCCUCACAAGUGCUGUUAAGAAUAUUCUGUGCAAAGUCAAAAUGGGUAGGAGUGUUAAAAAUUAAAAUCAAGUCAUCUGGCAUCUCAAUCACUGAAACGGAGGUUGAAAGACGCAGGAGACAUUUUCCCCUCAGCCCUUGAUUUGCUAUGGGGCCUGCAUCAAGUUGUGCUAUGCCUCUGUUAUAACAUCUGCAAAAUGGAGAUAACGCUUCACACUACCUACCUCAGAGAGCUGCCAGAAGAUUAGAUCCCAAAAAA